Molecule: ribosomal RNA, 465 nt
Filed under: Vreelandella stevensii
Lineage: Bacteria; Pseudomonadati; Pseudomonadota; Gammaproteobacteria; Oceanospirillales; Halomonadaceae
Description: partial 16S ribosomal RNA
Rfam family: Bacterial small subunit ribosomal RNA
Source: RNAcentral
CCUACGGGGGGCUGCAGUGGGGAAUAUUGGACAAUGGGGGGAACCCUGAUCCAGCCAUGCCGCGUGUGUGAAGAAGGCCCUCGGGUUGUAAAGCACUUUCAGUGAGGAAGAACGCCUGGUGGUUAAUACCCAUCAGGAAAGACAUCACUCACAGAAGAAGCACCGGCUAACUCCGUGCCAGCAGCCGCGGUAAUACGGAGGGUGCGAGCGUUAAUCGGAAUUACUGGGCGUAAAGCGCGCGUAGGUGGCUUGAUAAGCCGGGUGUGAAAGCCCCGGGCUCAACCUGGGAACGGCAUCCGGAACUGUCAAGCUAGAGUGCAGGAGAGGAAGGUAGAAUUCCAGGUGUAGCGGUGAAAUGCGUAGAGAUCGGGAGGAAUACCAGUGGCGAAGGCGGCCUUCUGGACUGAAACUGACACUGAGGUGCGAAAGCGUGGGUAGCAAACAGGAUUAGAUACCCUAGUAGUC